This 920-nucleotide ribosomal RNA is filed under the name uncultured archaeon. Its description in RNAcentral is "bacterial SSU rRNA". It matches the Rfam family "Archaeal small subunit ribosomal RNA", at positions 1 to 922 of the family's 1478-position model. The record is from RNAcentral.
UUCCGGUUGAUCCUGCCGGAGGCCAUUGCUAUCGGAGUCCGAUUUAGCCAUGCUAGUCGCACGAGUUCAUACUCGUGGCAUAUAGCUCAGUAACACGUGGCCAAACUACCCUAUGGACAGCAAUAACCUCGGGAAACUGAGGCUAAUAGUUGAUACUGCUCUCACGCUGGAACAGCAGAGAGCGGGAAACGCUCCGGCGCCAUAGGAUGUGGCUGCGGCCGAUUAGGUAGACGGUGGGGUAACGGCCCACCGUGCCUAUAAUCGGUACGGGUCAUGAGAGUGAGAGCCCGGAGACGGUAUCUGAGACAAGAUACCGGGCCCUACGGGGCGCAGCAGGCGCGAAACCUUUACACUGCACGCCAGUGCGAUAGGGGAACUCCGAGUGCGAGGGCAUACAGUCCUCGCUUUUCUGUACCGUAAGGUGGUACAGGAAUAAGUGCUGGGCAAGACCGGUGCCAGCCGCCGCGGUAAUACCGGCAGCACGAGUGAUGGCCGAUAUUAUUGGGCCUAAAGCGUCCGUAGCCGGCCAGACAAGUCCGUUGGGAAAUCGACGUGCCUAACACGUCGGCGUCCAGCGGAAACUGUCUGGCUUGGGGCCGGAGGACUCGAGGGGUACGUCCGGGGUAGGAGUGAAAUCCCGUAAUCCUGGACGGACCGCCGAUGGCGAAAGCACCUCGAGAGGACGGACCCGACGGUGAGGGACGAAAGCUAGGGUCUCGAACCGGAUUAGAUACCCGGGUAGUCCUAGCCGUAAACAAUGCUCGCUAGGUGUGGCGCAGGCUACGAGCCUGCGCUGUGCCGUAGGGAAGCCGUGAAGCGAGCCGCCUGGGAAGUACGUCCGCAAGGAUGAAACUUAAAGGAAUUGGCGGGGGAGCACUGCAACCGGAGGAGCCUGCGGUUUAAUUGGAUUCAACGCCGGA